GUGCCUUGGCGGCAGCUACCAUGCAGUCGAGCGGCAGCGGGUCCUUCGGGAUGCCGGCGAGCGGCGGACGGGUGAGUAAUGCCUAGGAAUCUGCCUGGUAGUGGGGGAUAACGUUCGGAAACGGACGCUAAUACCGCAUACGUCCUACGGGAGAAAGUGGGGGAUCUUCGGACCUCACGCUAUCAGAUGAGCCUAGGUCGGAUUAGCUAGUUGGUGGGGUAAUGGCUCACCAAGGCGACGAUCCGUAACUGGUCUGAGAGGAUGAUCAGUCACACUGGAACUGAGACACGGUCCAGACUCCUACGGGAGGCAGCAGUGGGGAAUAUUGGACAAUGGGCGAAAGCCUGAUCCAGCCAUGCCGCGUGUGUGAAGAAGGUCUUCGGAUUGUAAAGCACUUUAAGUUGGGAGGAAGGGCAGCUAGUUAAUACCUGGUUGUUUUGACGUUACCAACAGAAUAAGCACCGGCUAACUUCGUGCCAGCAGCCGCGGUAAUACGAAGGGUGCAAGCGUUAAUCGGAAUUACUGGGCGUAAAGCGCGCGUAGGUGGUUCAGCAAGUUGGAGGUGAAAUCCCCGGGCUCAACCUGGGAACUGCCUCCAAAACUACUGAGCUAGAGUACGGUAGAGGGUAGUGGAAUUUCCUGUGUAGCGGUGAAAUGCGUAGAUAUAGGAAGGAACACCAGUGGCGAAGGCGACUACCUGGACUGAUACUGACACUGAGGUGCGAAAGCGUGGGGAGCAAACAGGAUUAGAUACCCUGGUAGUCCACGCCGUAAACGAUGUCGACUAGCCGUUGGGAUCCUUGAGAUCUUAGUGGCGAAGCUAACGCGAUAAGUCGACCGCCUGGGGAGUACGGCCGCAAGGUUAAAACUCAAAUGAAUUGACGGGGGCCCGCACAAGCGGUGGAGCAUGUGGUUUAUUUCGAAGCAACGCGAGGAACCUUACCUGGCCUUGACAUGCUGAGAACUUUCCAGAGAUGGAUUGGUGCCUUCGGGAACUCAGACACAGGUGCUGCAUGGCUGUCGUCAGCCCGUGUCGUGAGAUGU
This 1044-nucleotide ribosomal RNA is filed under the name Pseudomonas sp. EA_S_32. RNAcentral's name for it is "bacterial SSU rRNA". It matches the Rfam family "Bacterial small subunit ribosomal RNA", at positions 31 to 1075 of the family's 1533-position model. Lineage: Bacteria; Pseudomonadati; Pseudomonadota; Gammaproteobacteria; Pseudomonadales; Pseudomonadaceae. The record is from RNAcentral.